CCUACGGGUGGCUGCAGUGAGGAAUAUUGGUCAAUGGACGAGAGCCUGAACCAGCCAAGUAGCGUGAAGGAUGACUGCCCUACGGGUUGUAAACUUCUUUUAUAAAGGAAUAAAGUGAGUCACGUGUGCGUUUUUGUAUGUACUUUAUGAAUAAGGAUCGGCUAACUCCGUGCCAGUAGCCGCGGUAAUACGGAGGAUCCGAGCGUUAUCCGGAUUUAUUGGGUUUAAAGGGAGCGUAGAUGGGUUGUUAAGUCAGUUGUGAAAGUUUGCGGCUCAACCGUAAAAUUGCAGUUGAUACUGGCAGGCUUGAGUACAGUAGAGGUGGGCGGAAUUCGUGGUGUAGCGGGGAAAUGCUUAGAUAUCACGAAGAACUCCGAUUGCGAAGGCAGCUUACUAAACUGCAACUGACAUUGAUGCUCGAAAGUGUGGGUAUCAAACAGGAUUAGAUACCCCUGUAGUC
This 460-nucleotide ribosomal RNA is filed under the name uncultured bacterium. RNAcentral describes it as "partial 16S ribosomal RNA". It matches the Rfam family "Bacterial small subunit ribosomal RNA", at positions 338 to 795 of the family's 1533-position model. The record is from RNAcentral.